UCCAUAUCCCUCACCCCCCCAAAAACCCAAAUGUCCCCAAACUUCCCCCUUCCCCUUCUGACCCCAAAUCCCCAUUUUUGGUGUUUCAGGCCUCAAAAAUCGCAACUUUUGGGGUUUCGGCCCCAAAAUCAACAUUUAUGGUCUUUCAGCCCCAAAAUCAAAAGUACAUUCCGGUGUUUCUGGCCUCAAAAUCCCCAUUUUUGAUGUUUCAGCCCCAAAAUCACCAUUUAUGUUUGUUUCUGGUCCCAAAAUCCCCAUUUUUGAUGUUUCAGCCCCAAAAUCACCAUUUAUGUUUGUUUCUGGUCCCCCAAAGCCCCAUUUUUGGUCGUUCAGCCCCCAAAUCACCAUUUUUGAUGUUUCAGCCCCAAAAUCAACACUGGAUUCUGGUGUUUCAGCCCCAAAAUCGACAUUUUUGGUUUCCAGCCCCCAAAAUCCCCAUUUUUGAUGUUUCAGCCCCAAAGCCAACACUGGGUUCUGGUGUUUCUGGCCCCCAAAUUAACAAUUCUUGGUCUUUCAGCCCCAAAAUCCCCAUUUUUGGUCGUUCAGCCCCAAAACCAACACUGGAUUCUGGUGUUUCUGGCCUCAAAAUUAACAAUUCUUGGUCUUUCAGCCCCCAAAAUCCCCAUUUUUGGUCGUUCAGCCCCAAAAUCAACACUAGAUUCUGGUGUUUCAGCCCCAAAAUCGACAUUUUUGGUUUCCAGCCCCCCAAAUCCCCAUUUUUGAUGUUUCAGCCCCAAAACCAACACUGGAUUCUGGUGCUUCUGACCCCCAAAUCCCCAUUUUUGGUGUUUCAGCCCCAAAAUCACAAUUUUUGGUGUUUCAGCCCCAAAAUCAACACUGUAUUCUGGAGGUUCUGGCCCCAAAAUUAACAAUUCUUGGUCUUUCAGCCCCAAAAUCACCAUUUUUGAUGUUUCUGGCCUCAAAAUCCCCAUUUUUGAUGUUUCAGCCCCAAAAUCCCUAUAUUUGAUGUUUCUGGCCUCAAAUCCCCAUUUUCGGUGU
Molecule: long non-coding RNA, 999 nt
Filed under: Phasianus colchicus (ring-necked pheasant)
Lineage: Eukaryota; Metazoa; Chordata; Aves; Galliformes; Phasianidae
Description: lncRNA (ENSPCLG00000017877.1)
Source: RNAcentral